RNAcentral lists this transfer RNA (74 nucleotides) under Patescibacteria group bacterium. RNAcentral describes it as "tRNA-Thr". The record is from RNAcentral.
GCCCAUGUAGCUCAGUCGGUUAGAGCGCGAUCUUGGUAAGAUCGAGGUCCGCAGUUCGAUUCUGCGCGUGGGCU